GUCGUCUGCUGGGGUUAAGGUUCUCAUUUCCCCCUGCUUCACGCAUGGGUUAGUCCGCGAGGUUAUGUGGUCGGGCUCGCUAGGGCCCCCAUAUAUCUGGUCUUUUGCAUGUUUGUCUGAGCGGCCUCUCCGAGCCCCUCCUCAUCUCUCUAGGGGGCUUUGUCACCGGUUGACCCCACAUUUGUGUUGCGGUAGUAAAGUCGCUGUAUAAGUCGGUUGCCGGGUUAGGGUCAGCAUCCUAGGGAGGCAGUAGCACUCCUCCGGCUCGAGACCCUUAGGGUUUAUAUUUGCUCAGUCACCCACCUCGGGUCGUUUCCCC
Pelobates cultripes (western spadefoot toad) is the source of this 319-nucleotide non-coding RNA. NCBI's taxonomy places the organism in Eukaryota, Metazoa, Chordata, Amphibia, Anura, Pelobatidae. The record is from the annotation of a GenBank genome assembly.